Tupaia belangeri (northern tree shrew) is the source of this 85-nucleotide small nucleolar RNA. Its record names the gene SNORD79. It matches the Rfam family "Small nucleolar RNA SNORD79". From Rfam's summary of the family: snoRNA U79 or Z22 is found in intron 7 of the gas5 gene in humans and is also present in mice. The record is from Ensembl. NCBI's taxonomy places the organism in Eukaryota, Metazoa, Chordata, Mammalia, Scandentia, Tupaiidae.
UGCUGUUAGUGAUGAUUUGUAAAAGUUAAAACAGAUGGGAAUCUCUCUGAAAGAGAAUGAAGAUUAAUUUUAAACUGAAACAGUA